GAAAAAGUAAACGGUAAAUUUACUCGACUCUUUGUUGAGAAAACAAAUAGUGUAAAAGUAUAAUAUAUGUAUCAUCAUAAAAGGCGUAUGUUAUAUUUAUUGAUUUGACGUAAAUAUUAAUGAUGAACGAAAGAGAGACUUACGGAGCUACUAGAGCUGCUAUUUGAUCGAUGAAGUUUCUUUUUCUCCUCCUUGGGUUCCACUUCUUCACUUACGUUAACUUUUUCAGACAACUCAGAUGAAAUUGCCUCUUCUUCAUGAGCAUGACUUGGUUUUUCCUCUUCUUUUUUUCCAAUGAAAUCAAACAAACCACGAUCAGUAGCUUCCACGUUGGUACCAACAGUCUCUUCAACGGAUGCCUUGUUCUGUUCGUAUUGAUCAGCCAUACUUCUUCUUCUUUUUUUCAAUCAAAAAGAUAUUAUCAACAAGUGAAAGUUUGAAUAUUGAAUUGGAUGUGAUUC
RNAcentral lists this unclassified non-coding RNA (461 nucleotides) under Hevea brasiliensis (rubber tree). Lineage: Eukaryota; Viridiplantae; Streptophyta; Magnoliopsida; Malpighiales; Euphorbiaceae. The record is from RNAcentral.